This 278-nucleotide long non-coding RNA is filed under the name Arabidopsis lyrata. RNAcentral describes it as "long non-coding RNA (ALYR_LNC002788)". Lineage: Eukaryota; Viridiplantae; Streptophyta; Magnoliopsida; Brassicales; Brassicaceae. The record is from RNAcentral.
CCUCGGGUGACUUGGUUCUUUGCCUCGGGUGAUUUUGCCAAAUCGGCUCGGGACGAAGGGAGAAUUCAGCUCGGGUGAGGAUAUUCUGGGUCUCGUUUCCGAGCUGAAGCAGGAUGACCCGAACCGGUUUAAUCAUGUCCUAACCCGAGCCGAUUCGGUGAUUGAUCCCGAGCCGAUUUGAUCGUCGUUUACCGAGCCAGUUCGGCGAGUGAUCCCGAGCUGGCCUAGUCAUAGUUCCCCGAGCCGUUCUGGUGGUAGAUCCCGAGGUGUCAUGUUUU